RNAcentral lists this long non-coding RNA (1056 nucleotides) under Oncorhynchus mykiss (rainbow trout). RNAcentral describes it as "lncRNA (ENSOMYG00000062384.1)". Lineage: Eukaryota; Metazoa; Chordata; Actinopteri; Salmoniformes; Salmonidae. The record is from RNAcentral.
AUGGUAAGCCAGGUCAUGUACUCUGUGGAUUCUGAUGCAGAAAGUAGAGGAUCCUCUCCAACUGAAUCUCUCCAAACAUCUGAACCCACUAUAUCUGAUGUAGGCAAUCUAUUGAGUGGCAAGUCCUCCCCUCGGCUGUCUCCUUCUGGCACCAUUAUGGCAACAAGCGAGACCUCCAAUGCAGCACAAAUCUUGAAGGCCAACAUUGAUGGAGAGGAAGUGGAUACCACCAGUCAUUCUGGUGUAGCUCAAAACAUUGUCAAGGACGAUAUGUCAACCAGCCCAGACAUGGUCAAAGAUGUCACACUUCCAACCCCAUCCUCUGAUAACUUGGGCAGUGAUGAUGACGUCACCGGCCUCAUCAGCAUGUUAGUAAUGAGAAUUCUAACAGAAAUCCAAACCCCAGCAGAAGAUUACCCAGUUGACGUCACACGCAAGUCACAAGACCUUAUCCCUAAAGUUAUGGAGGUCUUCUGUGCAUGGUCAGGCUGCUCUGAGACACAAGCCUAUCCAGAGAACUUGAGGAUUCAUAAAGUCUACAGAGUCGUCUAUAAAAAUCUGUUGGAGGAGUUUGGCUCGGAGAAAAUCCUCCAACAGGCCGUGACGACUCAGGACUCUUCAUUUGAUAGGAUUCUUGUCAAGUCUUUGAGUGAAGCGCUUCUCCACAGAUGUAAUGAGGCAUUGAGGGCAGCCUCAAGAACAUCAGUCAAAACCACCGGGCCUAAGGCUCUUCCACUGGCUGAGGAUGUGAGGGCUAGCAGCGGGAAACUAUCUUUUCUACAAAGGCUGGUCAGGCUGACAAGCAACUUAAAGCUAUUCAAGAAGGGGAACAAGAAGGAUUCCCACCGCUCUGAAUCAGAACAAGUACAGACCACUGCUGAAGAUGGCAUGCUGCCCAGCAUAGUGCCACAUGCUGCCAUGUCUGCACUGCCAAAGGAUCUCCCCGCCAGCUCCCAACAGGAGACGCCUCACAAACGUCCACUUCUCGUCAGGAUGUUUUCUGCCAUCUCCAAAGGCCUGUUCAAGCCCUUCAAACAGUCCUUAAAGACCAAGUAA